RNAcentral lists this transfer RNA (70 nucleotides) under Loxodonta africana (African savanna elephant). It matches the Rfam family "tRNA". From Rfam's summary of the family: Transfer RNA (tRNA) molecules are approximately 80 nucleotides in length. Their secondary structure includes four short double-helical elements and three loops (D, anti-codon, and T loops). Lineage: Eukaryota; Metazoa; Chordata; Mammalia; Proboscidea; Elephantidae. The record is from Rfam by way of RNAcentral.
GCAGUGGUGGUUCAGUGGUAGAAUUCUCACCUUCCAGGCAGGAGACCAGGUUCGAUUCCUGGCCAGUGUA